GGGUUGGUGCCCGAGUGGUUAAAGGGGAUGGAUUGUAAAUCCAUUAACAUUUGUUUACAUAGGUUCAAAUCCUAUUCAACCCA
Molecule: transfer RNA, 83 nt
Filed under: Oceanospirillales bacterium TMED59
Lineage: Bacteria; Pseudomonadati; Pseudomonadota; Gammaproteobacteria; Oceanospirillales
Description: tRNA-Tyr
Rfam family: tRNA
About the family: Transfer RNA (tRNA) molecules are approximately 80 nucleotides in length. Their secondary structure includes four short double-helical elements and three loops (D, anti-codon, and T loops).
Source: RNAcentral